Molecule: ribosomal RNA, 253 nt
Filed under: uncultured bacterium
Lineage: Bacteria
Description: partial 16S ribosomal RNA
Rfam family: Bacterial small subunit ribosomal RNA
Source: RNAcentral
UACGGGGGGAGCAAGCGUUGUUCGGAUUCACUGGGCGUAAAGGGUGCGCAGGUGGGCUGGUAAGUUCGAUGUGAAAGCCCCGGGCUUAACCCGGGAAUGGCAUUGGAUACUACUGGUCUGGAGGAUUGGAGGGGGGACUGGAAUUCUUGGUGUAGCAGUGAAAUGCGUAGAUAUCAAGAGGAACACCAGUGGCGAAGGCGAGUCCCUGGACAAUUCCUGACACUGAGGCACGAAAGCCAAGGGAGCAAACAGG